Molecule: transfer RNA, 84 nt
Filed under: Chloroflexota bacterium
Lineage: Bacteria; Bacillati; Chloroflexota
Description: Chloroflexi bacterium (hot springs metagenome) tRNA-Leu
Rfam family: tRNA
About the family: Transfer RNA (tRNA) molecules are approximately 80 nucleotides in length. Their secondary structure includes four short double-helical elements and three loops (D, anti-codon, and T loops). Further hydrogen bonds mediate the characteristic L-shaped molecular structure. tRNAs have two regions of fundamental functional importance: the anti-codon, which is responsible for specific mRNA codon recognition, and the 3' end, to which the tRNAs corresponding amino acid is attached (by aminoacyl-tRNA synthetases). tRNAs cope with the degeneracy of the genetic code in two manners: having more than one tRNA (with a specific anti-codon) for a particular amino acid; and 'wobble' base-pairing, i.e. permitting non-standard base-pairing at the 3rd anti-codon position.
Source: RNAcentral
GCCGGAGUGGCGGAAUUGGCAGACGCGCUGCGUUCAGGGCGCAGUGGCCGUACGGUCGUGUGGGUUCAACUCCCACCUCCGGCA